RNAcentral lists this ribosomal RNA (501 nucleotides) under uncultured bacterium. RNAcentral's name for it is "partial 16S ribosomal RNA". It matches the Rfam family "Bacterial small subunit ribosomal RNA", at positions 30 to 523 of the family's 1533-position model. The record is from RNAcentral.
AUUGAACGCUGGCGGCAGGCUUAACACAUGCAAGUCGAGCGGAGAUGAGGUGCUUGCACCUUAUCUUAGCGGCGGACGGGUGAGUAAUGCUUAGGAAUCUGCCUAUUAGUGGGGGACAACAUUCCGAAAGGAAUGCUAAUACCGCAUACGUCCUACGGGAGAAAGCAGGGGAUCUUCGGGCCUUGCGCUAAUAGAUGAGCCUAAGUCGGAUUAGCUAGUUGGUGGGGUAAAGGCCUGCCAAGGCGACGAUCUGUAGCGGGUCUGAGAGGAUGCUCCGCCACACUGGGACUGAGACACGGCCCAGACUCCUACGGGAGGCAGCAGUGGGGAAUAUUGGACAAUGGGGGAAACCCUGAUCCAGCCAUGCCGCGUGUGUGAAGAAGGCCUUAUGGUUGUAAAGCACUUUAAGCGAGGAGGAGGCUACUGAGACUAAUACUCUUGGAUAGUGGACGUUACUCGCAGAAUAAGCACCGGCUAACUCUGUGCCAGCCGCCGCGGUAA